GCCCUCGGUGGCUCAGAUGGAUAGAGCGUCUGCCAUGUAAGCAGGUGAUCCCGGGUUCGAAUCCCGGUCGCGGCA
RNAcentral lists this transfer RNA (75 nucleotides) under Schistocerca americana (American grasshopper). Its description in RNAcentral is "tRNA-Thr". It matches the Rfam family "tRNA". From Rfam's summary of the family: Transfer RNA (tRNA) molecules are approximately 80 nucleotides in length. Lineage: Eukaryota; Metazoa; Arthropoda; Insecta; Orthoptera; Acrididae. The record is from RNAcentral.